RNAcentral lists this ribosomal RNA (497 nucleotides) under uncultured bacterium. RNAcentral describes it as "partial 16S ribosomal RNA". It matches the Rfam family "Bacterial small subunit ribosomal RNA", at positions 28 to 507 of the family's 1533-position model. The record is from RNAcentral.
GAUGAACGCUGGCGGCGUGCCUAACACAUGCAAGUCGAGCGAACAGACGAGGAGCUUGCUCCUCUGCCGUUAGCGGGGGACGGGCGAGUGACACGUGCAUAACCUACCUCUAAGACUGGGGUAACUUCGGGAAACCGGAUCCAAUACCGCAUCAUACAUCGUACGGGUGGGUUCAAUGGAGAAAGGCAGUUUUGCUGUCACUUUGAGACGAAUUCGGGCCGCAUUAGCUAGUUGGUAAGGUAACGGCGUACCAAGGCGACGAUGCGUAGCCGACCUGAGAGGGUGAUCAGCCACACUGGAACCGAGACACGGUCCAGACUCCUACGGGAGGCAGCAGUAGGGAAUCUUCCGCAAUGGGCGAAAGCCUGACGGAGCAACGCCGCGUGAGUGAUGAAGGUCUUCGGAUCGUAAAGCUCUGUUAUUAGGGAAGAACAACUGUGUAAGUAACUAUGCACGUCUUGACGGUACCUAAUCAGAAAGCCACGGCUAACUACGUG